RNAcentral lists this ribosomal RNA (776 nucleotides) under uncultured Neocallimastigales. RNAcentral's name for it is "partial large subunit ribosomal RNA". It matches the Rfam family "Eukaryotic large subunit ribosomal RNA", at positions 23 to 643 of the family's 3401-position model. The record is from RNAcentral. Lineage: Eukaryota; Fungi; Neocallimastigomycota; Neocallimastigomycetes; Neocallimastigales.
AUAGAGACUCAGAGCUGCAUAUCAAUAAGCGGAGGAAAAGAAACUAACAAGGAUUCCCCUAGUAACGGCGAGUGAAGCGGGAAGAGCUCAAAUUUGAAAUCUUCAAGGUUCUACCUUGACGAAUUGUAGUUUAUAAGAAGUGUUUUCUGUUAGUAGAGUGGUAAAAGUUCUUUGGAAUAGGACAUCAUAGAGGGUGAGAAUCCCGUAUUUGGUCAUUCUCUCCUAGCUUUGUGAUACACUUUCAAAGAGUCGGAUUGUUUGGGAAUGCAGUCCAAAAUGGGUGGUAAAUUUCAUCUAAAGCUAAAUAUUGGCGAGAGACCGAUAGCGAACAAGUACCGUGAGGGAAAGAUGAAAAGAACUUUGAAAAGAGAGUUAAACAGUACGUGAAAUUGUCAAAAGGGAAGCGUUUGACACCAGUGUUGUUUUUCCGAAAAUCAAUUACGAAUGUUUUAUUUUUGAGAAGUUAUGACUUCAUCGGCUUGCUUCUCUCUUUAUGAAACUUUCUUAAUGCACUUUUCGGUUAACAAGUCAACAUCAAUUUCUUUUGUUGUAAAAGGGUAUGAGGAAGGUGGCUUUCUUUUCGGAGAAAGUGUUUAUAGCCUUGUACCUCUGCAAUCGGAGAGAUUGAGGUCUGCAGCGUAGAUCCUUCGGGGUUAGAUACAUUUGUGCUAAGUUAUAGCUUUUCAUAGACAACUUGUUGACUAUGCUUAGUCUUGUAGCUUACUCGCUUAUGCUAUUUUACCUACGCUUAGGAUGUUGAUAUGCAUGACUGAUAU